This is a non-coding RNA of Elusimicrobia bacterium RBG_16_66_12, 73 nucleotides long. Lineage: Bacteria; Pseudomonadati; Elusimicrobiota. The record is from Rfam.
GCUGGGAUAGCUCAGUUGGUAGAGCAUCUCCAUGGUAAGGAGAAGGUCGUGGGUUCAAAUCCCAUUCCCAGCU